Molecule: non-coding RNA, 755 nt
Organism: Malus domestica (apple)
Lineage: Eukaryota; Viridiplantae; Streptophyta; Magnoliopsida; Rosales; Rosaceae
Source: RefSeq, a predicted model, not a curated record
UGCGCCGAUGCCUUCUCCCUUCCCCCUUCCUUCCCCCUUUUCUCCUCUCCUCAUUUCCUUCUCCUUUUUAUAUUUUUCGUUGAGCAUUCUCCCUUCUCCAGAGCAAUGCCGGCAUAGAAGCGCACCCACAAGGCCAUGGAAGAUGAUCCUCCGCAUAACUACCAAGAAAACAGCCACGAAAUGCCCCAAGACGAAGAGGGUACGCCUUAUUUCUUCCAACUCCAGAUUCGUCCAACCCACCGCAUACAAACACCGUACACGCACAUUUCUUCUUCCCCGUUACAUGGUUUUUGGAUUUUUGCUUUCUCUGAUUCUCUGUGCCGUUGCUUCAUCUGUUCUUUCUCCUUCCUUUUGCUCCUCAAAGUCCGAUCGAAGCCCCUUACAGAGCACCGAAGAGAAAGACGAAUGGAGUUGGGUUUUGGAUCUUUUGAAUUCGAGCUUCAAAUUCCAUCGUGCAUGGGGGGAGGGGUUCAAGCAUGUUGCCCAAUCUGGUUUGCUCAUUAGCUGCAUAUUCUAAUCCGAACUUUUGCUUCACUUCAUACCUAUUGUUUCGAUGAUUGUUGGGUCAUUUCGAGCAAAAGGAGAGAAGAAUGCUCAACGAGAAGGAGUAUGGAGAAUGCUCUCAUGUCCUUUUUAGAUUUUUUAUUAUUAUUAAUAUAUUUGCUGUCAGUUUUAACGGACAGAUAAUGCUCUUACUUAUUCAUUAUUAAUAUAUUCUCUGUCGGUUAUAGCCGACACAAGUUCUGUCGCUUUUA